RNAcentral lists this ribosomal RNA (274 nucleotides) under uncultured bacterium. RNAcentral describes it as "partial 16S ribosomal RNA". It matches the Rfam family "Bacterial small subunit ribosomal RNA", at positions 523 to 796 of the family's 1533-position model. The record is from RNAcentral.
CUACGGAGGGUGCAAGCGUUACUCGGAAUCACUGGGCGUAAAGCGCGCGCAGGCGGCUAUUUAAGUUGGAUGUGAAAGCCUACGGCUCAACCGUAGAACUGCAUCCAAAACUAUUUAGCUAGAGUGUGGGAGAGGAAGAUGGAAUUAGUUGUGUAGGGGUAAAAUCCGUAGAGAUAACUAGGAAUACCAAAAGCGAAGGCGAUCUUCUGGAACAGUACUGACGCUGAGGCGCGAAAGCGUGGGGAGCAAACAGGAUUAGAAACCCUAGUAGUCC